Molecule: ribosomal RNA, 314 nt
Filed under: uncultured eukaryote
Lineage: Eukaryota
Description: partial 18S ribosomal RNA
Rfam family: Eukaryotic small subunit ribosomal RNA
Source: RNAcentral
CCCUUAGACGUUCUGGGCCGCACGCGCGCUACACUGACCAGUGCAACAAGCAUCCGUCCUUGGCCGACAGGCUCGGGCAAUCUUUGAACGCUGGUCGUGAUGGGGAUAGACUUUUGCAAUUUUUGGUCUUCAACGAGGAAUUCCUAGUAAACGCAAGUCAUCAACUUGCAUUGAUUACGUCCCUGCCCUUUGUACACACCGCCCGUCGCACCUACCGAUUGAAUGGUCCGGUGAAGCCUCCGGAUUGGCGCGCACCUCGGUGCCGCCGAGAAGUUGGCUAACCUUACCAUUUAGAGGAAGGUGAAGUCGUAACA